GAGAAGAACGUAGCGAAAUGCGAUACUUGGUGUGAAUUGCAGAAUCCCGCGAAUCAUCGAGUUUUUGAACGCAAGUUGCGCCCGAAGCCAUUCGGCCGAGGGCACGUCUGCCUGGGUGUCACGCAUCGUUGCCCCCCCAAACUCCGGUUCGGGCGGGGCGGAAGUUGGCCUCCCGUGCGUGCCUGCGCGCGCGGUUAGCCCAAAAGCGAGUCCUCGGCGACGAGCGCCACGACAAUCGGUGGUUUUUUUACCCUCGUUCCUCGUCGUGCGUGUCCCGUCGCCCGAACGCGCUCUUGUGACCCUCACGCGUCGCCUCGGCGGCGCUCCCAACGCGACCCCAGGUCAGGCGGGACUACCCGCUGAGUUUAAGCAUAUCAAUAAGCGGAGGA
This 389-nucleotide unclassified non-coding RNA is filed under the name soil metagenome. RNAcentral describes it as "partial contains 5.8S ribosomal RNA, internal transcribed spacer 2, and large subunit ribosomal RNA". The stretch from base 3 to 121 matches the Rfam family "5.8S ribosomal RNA", at positions 38 to 154 of the family's 154-position model. The record is from RNAcentral.